This 362-nucleotide ribosomal RNA is filed under the name uncultured eukaryote. Its description in RNAcentral is "partial 18S ribosomal RNA". It matches the Rfam family "Eukaryotic small subunit ribosomal RNA", at positions 592 to 976 of the family's 1831-position model. The record is from RNAcentral.
CAAUAGCAUAUAUUAACGUUGUUGCAGUUGAAAAGCUCGUAGUUGAACUUUUGGUAGGAGCGACCUGGCCUUGGGCGCAUGCCCUUGUUUGCCGUGUGUCGUAUCUGGCCAUCCUUUUCUUCUUUUUGGAAGGAAUCUUUUACUGUGAGUAAACUGGAGUGCUCAAAACAAGACGUUUGUUUGGUACAUUAAAGCAUGGAAUAAUAAGAUAGGACCUGGUUACUAUUUUGUUGGUUUGCAUAGCUAGGUAAUGAUUAACAGGGACAGUUGGGGGUAUUCGUAUUUAAUUGUCAGAGGUGAAAUUCUUGGAUUUAUGAAAGACGAACGACUGCGAAAGCAUUUACCAAGGAUGUUUUCAUUAA